RNA transcript from Conger conger (European conger), 803 nucleotides. It is a transcript of the gene named intraflagellar transport associated protein, with no coding region annotated. The record is from RefSeq and is a predicted model, not a curated record. The transcript is spliced from 6 exons. NCBI's taxonomy places the organism in Eukaryota, Metazoa, Chordata, Actinopteri, Anguilliformes, Congridae.
CGAUCAUAGCUGCAAUUCUACGCGUUGGAGAACGUAGUCUUUCCCCCCGUUCAUUGUUAACUAUGGAAAAGCACAAAGACUCGAAUUCCCAGUGUGCAUUGUUGGGCCGCGUCGUUGCUUGGAUUCUGAGGGAAUGUUUGAACGGUCGGUCAGGUGUCCCAGAAUGCCUGUGGUGGAGGGUGGGCAUGGUGCCACGCCCCUGGACCCGUCCGUGAGCCCCGCCCUCUCCGCUCAGCAGACCGAUGGGCGCCUCCUGGCUUCUGUCACUCACCUGUCCACAGGGGGCGUGACGGGCAGCUCUUCCGGACACCGUCCCGCCCGUGAGCGGGAGGGAGGGAGGAGAGAUGGAGGGAUGGACGGAGCUGAGGACAGAGGCAGGAGGAUGGGAGAGUUGGACUACCUUGAUCUGACAGACUUCUGCCGACACCAGAAUGACCUUGCAGAAGGUGUUGCCCUCCCUGGGGAGGUGGCAGAAGACCCCCCUGCGUACACGCCCUCCAUCUGCCGACGCACCGAGCUGGACCUCCGCACGAGGCCUGUCCUCGAGCCCCGCACACAGUCACCACGCCCCGCUGUCCAGGUGAGGGAGCGGAGUGAGUCAGUCAGUGAGCAGUGUGCAUGAAGCCUCCUACCACACACCAUCAGCACCCUGGCAGCCAAGUGCUCUGCCUCAUUCUUCUUGUCCUGUGAUUACGGAACCCGACAAGGUCCUCCCGUUCAGCUUGGACGCCGGCUUCGAUUACGAUCACGUGGCGCUGUCCCGAAAACACCCGGUGCCGUGACCCGACCCGACCCGACCCGAC